This 490-nucleotide ribosomal RNA is filed under the name uncultured bacterium. Its description in RNAcentral is "partial 16S ribosomal RNA". It matches the Rfam family "Bacterial small subunit ribosomal RNA", at positions 30 to 507 of the family's 1533-position model. The record is from RNAcentral.
AUUGAACGCUGGCGGCAGGCCUAACACAUGCAAGUCGAACGGUAACAGGAAGAAGCUUGCUUCUUUGCUGACGAGUGGCGGACGGGUGAGUAAUGUCUGGGAAACUGCCUGAUGGAGGGGGAUAACUACUGGAAACGGUAGCUAAUACCGCAUAACGUCGCAAGACCAAAGAGGGGGACCUUCGGGCCUCUUGCCCUCGGAUGUGCCCAGAUGGGAUUAGCUAGUGGGUGGGGUAACGGCUCACCUAGGCGACGAUCCCUAGCUGGUCUGAGAGGAUGACCAGCCACACUGGAACUGAGACACGGUCCAGACUCCUACGGGAGGCAGCAGUGGGGAAUAUUGCACAAUGGGCGCAAGCCUGAUGCAGCCAUGCCGCGUGUAUGAAGAAGGCCUUCGGGUUGUAAAGUACUUUCAGCGGGGAGGAAGGGAGUAAAGUUAAUACCUUGACUCAUUGACGUUACCCGCAGAAGAAGCACCGGCUAACUCCGUG